AACGAACGCUGGCGGCAUGCCUAACACAUGCAAGUCGAACGAGACCUUCGGGUCUAGUGGCGCACGGGUGCGUAACGCGUGGGAACCUGCCCUUAGGUUCGGAAUAACUCCCCGAAAGGGGUGCUAAUACCGGAUAAUGUCUUCGGACCAAAGAUUUAUCGCCUUUGGAUGGGCCCGCGUUGGAUUAGCUAGUUGGUAGGGUAAAAGCCUACCAAGGCGACGAUCCAUGGCUGGCCUGAGAGGAUGAUCAGCCACACUGGGACUGAGACACGGCCCAGACUCCUACGGGAGGCAGCAGUGGGGAAUAUUGGACAAUGGGCGAAAGCCUGAUCCAGCAAUGCCGCGUGAGUGAUGAAGGCCUUAGGGUUGUAAAGCUCUUUUACCCGGGAUGAUAAUGACAGUACCGGGAGAAUAAGCUCCGGCUAACUCCGUG
RNAcentral lists this ribosomal RNA (433 nucleotides) under uncultured bacterium. Its description in RNAcentral is "partial 16S ribosomal RNA". It matches the Rfam family "Bacterial small subunit ribosomal RNA", at positions 29 to 507 of the family's 1533-position model. The record is from RNAcentral.